Molecule: ribosomal RNA, 468 nt
Filed under: uncultured bacterium
Lineage: Bacteria
Description: partial 16S ribosomal RNA
Rfam family: Bacterial small subunit ribosomal RNA
Source: RNAcentral
GACGAACGCUGGCGGCGUGCUUAACACAUGCAAGUCGAACGGACAGGCCCUGCUUUUGUGGGGUGCUCGAGUGGCGAACGGGUGAGUAACACGUGUGUAACCUGCCCUUGUCUUUCUGAUAACUCCAGGAGAAUGGGGCUAAUACCGGGUAGGAUCUCCUGCUGCAUGGUGGGCAUAGGAAAGUUUCGGCGUUUGGGGAUGGACUCGCGGCUUAUCCGCUUGUUGGUGGGGUAGUGGCUUACCAAGGGUUUGACGGGUAGCCGGCCUGAGAGGGUGACCGGCCACAUGAGGACUGAGAGACGGCCCAGACUCCUACGGGAGGCAGCAGUGGGGAGUAUGGCACAGUGGGCGGAAGCCUGAUGCAGCAGCGCCGCGUGCGGGAUGACGGCCUUCGGGUUGUAAACCGCUUUCGCCUGUGACGAAGCGUGAUUGACGGUAAUGGGUAAAGAAGCACCGGCUAACUACGUG